Molecule: ribosomal RNA, 468 nt
Filed under: uncultured bacterium
Lineage: Bacteria
Description: SSU rRNA
Rfam family: Bacterial small subunit ribosomal RNA
Source: RNAcentral
AGGACAAACGCUGGCGGCGUACCUAAGACAUGCAAGUCGAACGAGGUUUCCGGCUUCGGUUGGAAAGCGAGUGGCGAACGGGUGAGUAACACGUAGGAACCUGUCAUUCAGUGGGGGAUACCGCUGGGAAACCGGCGCUAAUACCGCAUACGGUCCCGGAAACGGGAGCAAAGCCUUUCGAGGCGCUGAAUGAGGGGCCUGUGGCCGAUUAGCUAGUUGGUGGGGUAAAGGCCUACCAAGGCGACGAUCGGUAGCUGGUCUGAGAGGAUGGUCAGCCACACUGGGACUGAGACACGGCCCAGACUCCUACGGGAGGCAGCAGUUAGGAAAUUUUCACAAUGGGGGAAACCCUGAUGGAGUAACGCCGCGUGGAGGAUGACGGCCUCGGUUGUAAACUCCUUUUCUGUGGGAAGAGUAGAAGACGGUACCACAGGAAGAAGCAUCGGCUAACUACGUGCCAGCAGCCGC